Molecule: ribosomal RNA, 460 nt
Filed under: uncultured Bacteroidota bacterium
Lineage: Bacteria; Pseudomonadati; Bacteroidota
Description: bacterial SSU rRNA
Rfam family: Bacterial small subunit ribosomal RNA
Source: RNAcentral
CCUACGGGGGGCAGCAGUGAGGAAUAUUGGUCAAUGGGCGCAAGCCUGAACCAGCCAUGCCGCGUGCAGGAAGACGGCCCUACGGGUUGUAAACUGCUUUUAUGUGAGGAUAAACCUAGAUUUGCGAAUCUAGCUGAAGGUAUCACAUGAAUAAGGAUCGGCUAACUCCGUGCCAGCAGCCGCGGUAAUACGGAGGAUUCGAGCGUUAUCCGGAUUUAUUGGGUUUAAAGGGUGCGUAGGCGGGCUAAUAAGUCAGCGGUGAAAUCACUCAGCUUAACUGAGUAACUGCCGUUGAUACUGUUAGUCUAGAAUAUAAAUGGUGCAGGCGGAAUGAAUCAUGUAGAGGUGACAUUCAUAGAUAUGAUUCAGAACACCGAUCGCGAAGGCAGCUUGCAAAGAUAUUAUUGACGCUGAGGCACGAAAGCGUGGGUAGCGAACAGGAUUAGAUACCCCAGUAGUC